AAUAAUUAUUUAUUGGAAUAUAUAAGUUGGAAUAAAAAGUCCCAAUUUUGGAACAAGGGUUUUCACGUGAAAAGGAAAAGAGAAGCGGCUGAAAGAGAAAAAGGGCAAAAGGCAGAACAAGAGAAGAGGAAGAGCUUGAAGCUGCAGAAUUUGCCGGAUUAACUCAGGUAAGGGGGGUUUAUCGUUGAUUUAACGGGUAUUAUAUGAUAAUAUGUCAUGGGUAGUGAUAGACCUUGAAUUACUUCUGAAUUGGAUGAUUAUGGUGAAUUUGUG
Molecule: long non-coding RNA, 273 nt
Filed under: Lathyrus oleraceus (garden pea)
Lineage: Eukaryota; Viridiplantae; Streptophyta; Magnoliopsida; Fabales; Fabaceae
Description: Pisum sativum (pea) long non-coding RNA (PSAT_LNC036311)
Source: RNAcentral